AGGAUGAACGCUGGCGGCGUGCCUAAGACAUGCAAGUCGAGUGGGUUUAGACCCACGGCGAACGGGUGAGUAAUACCUAGGAACUUUCUUUAAGUGGAGCAUAACCAGUCGAAAGAUUGGAUAAUACUCCAUGUGAUCGUAAGAUCAAAGUCGCAAGACGCUUAAAGUGAGGCCUGGGCACCAUCAGCUAGUUGGUAAGGUAACGGCUUACCAAGGCUAUGACGGUUAGGGGCCCCGAGAGGGGAGACCCCCACACUGGAACUGCGACACGGUCCAGACUCCUACGGGAGGCAGCAGUUUGGAAUUUUGGACAAUGGGCGAAAGCCUGAUCCAGCGACGCCGCGUGGACGAUGAAGGCCUUCGGGUCGUAAAGUCCUUUUGCUCGGGAACAAUAUUUUGAGCGUACCGAGAGAAUAAGAGGUUGCUAACUCUGCGCCAGCAGCCGC
Molecule: ribosomal RNA, 446 nt
Filed under: uncultured bacterium
Lineage: Bacteria
Description: SSU rRNA
Rfam family: Bacterial small subunit ribosomal RNA
Source: RNAcentral